UGCUCCUCUUGAAGGUGUAGAUUUUCUCCAAAUCAUAUAAAAGCAGCUCCACAUUGCCAUUGUAGCUCAGAGGAAAAUACCGAACUCAUCAUGAAGUAUUUUGCAAUUUUAGUUGGCCUAAUGGCCGUUGUGAUAUUCUCAAGUCCCGCCGCUGCCGAACCGAAAUCCUAUAGGAAAGUUGGUCCCGGUGGCUAAGUUUUCCCGAUAACUCGAAUGGCUAUUUGAAUGAUUUCCAAAUAAAUGUUGCAAAUAUCAGAAAUAA
Musca domestica (house fly) is the source of this 262-nucleotide long non-coding RNA. RefSeq lists it as uncharacterized. The record is from RefSeq and is a predicted model, not a curated record. The transcript has 2 exons. Lineage: Eukaryota; Metazoa; Arthropoda; Insecta; Diptera; Muscidae.